Molecule: ribosomal RNA, 114 nt
Filed under: Escherichia coli
Lineage: Bacteria; Pseudomonadati; Pseudomonadota; Gammaproteobacteria; Enterobacterales; Enterobacteriaceae
Description: partial 23S ribosomal RNA
Rfam family: Bacterial large subunit ribosomal RNA
Source: RNAcentral
GGUUAAGCGACUAAGCGUACACGGUGGAUGCCCUGGUAGUCAGAGGCGAUGAAGGACGUGCUAAUCUGCGAUAAGCGUCGGUAAGGUGAUAUGAACCGUUAUAACCGGCGAUUU